RNAcentral lists this ribosomal RNA (850 nucleotides) under unidentified microorganism. RNAcentral describes it as "bacterial SSU rRNA". It matches the Rfam family "Bacterial small subunit ribosomal RNA", at positions 583 to 1430 of the family's 1533-position model. The record is from RNAcentral.
UCGCGUCUGCCGUGAAAGUCCGGGGCUCAACUCCGGAUCUGCGGUGGGUACGGGCAGACUAGAGUGAUGUAGGGGAGACUGGAAUUCCUGGUGUAGCGGUGAAAUGCGCAGAUAUCAGGAGGAACACCGAUGGCGAAGGCAGGUCUCUGGGCAUUAACUGACGCUGAGGAGCGAAAGCAUGGGGAGCGAACAGGAUUAGAUACCCUGGUAGUCCAUGCCGUAAACGUUGGGCACUAGGUGUGGGGGACAUUCCACGUUUUCCGCGCCGUAGCUAACGCAUUAAGUGCCCCGCCUGGGGAGUACGGCCGCAAGGCUAAAACUCAAAGGAAUUGACGGGGGCCCGCACAAGCGGCGGAGCAUGCGGAUUAAUUCGAUGCAACGCGAAGAACCUUACCAAGGCUUGACAUGAACCGGAAACGCCUGGAAACAGGUGCCCCACUUGUGGUCGGUUUACAGGUGGUGCAUGGUUGUCGUCAGCUCGUGUCGUGAGAUGUUGGGUUAAGUCCCGCAACGAGCGCAACCCUCGUUCUAUGUUGCCAGCACGUGAUGGUGGGGACUCAUAGGAGACUGCCGGGGUCAACUCGGAGGAAGGUGGGGACGACGUCAAAUCAUCAUGCCCCUUAUGUCUUGGGCUUCACGCAUGCUACAAUGGCCGGUACAAAGGGUUGCGAUACUGUGAGGUGGAGCUAAUCCCAAAAAGCCGGUCUCAGUUCGGAUUGGGGUCUGCAACUCGACCCCAUGAAGUCGGAGUCGCUAGUAAUCGCAGAUCAGCAACGCUGCGGUGAAUACGUUCCCGGGCCUUGUACACACCGCCCGUCAAGUCACGAAAGUUGGUAACACCCGAAGCCGG